Molecule: ribosomal RNA, 468 nt
Filed under: uncultured bacterium
Lineage: Bacteria
Description: partial 16S ribosomal RNA
Rfam family: Bacterial small subunit ribosomal RNA
Source: RNAcentral
GACGAACGCUGGCGGCGUGCUUAACACAUGCAAGUCGAACGGAAAGGCCCUGCUUUUGUGGGGUGCUCGAGUGGCGAACGGGUGAGUAACACGUGAGUAACCUGCCCUUGACUUUGGGAUAACUUCAGGAAACUGGGGCUAAUACCGGAUAGGAGCUCCUGCUGCAUGGUGGGGGUUGGAAAGUUUCGGCGGUUGGGGAUGGACUGGCGGCUUAUCAGCUUGUUGGUGGGGUAGUGGAUUACCAAGGCUUUGACGGGUAGCCGGCCUGGGAGGGUGACCGGCCACAAUGGGACUGCGAUACGGCCCAGACUCCUACGGGAGGCAGCAGUGGGGAAUAUGGCACAAUGGGCGGAAGCCUGAGGCAGCAACGCCGCGUUCGGGAAGACGUCCUUCGGGGUGUAAACCGCUUUCUCCUGAGACGAAGCGUGAGUGACGGUAAUGGGUAAAGAAGCACCGGCUAACUACGUG